RNAcentral lists this ribosomal RNA (1372 nucleotides) under uncultured bacterium. Its description in RNAcentral is "bacterial SSU rRNA". It matches the Rfam family "Bacterial small subunit ribosomal RNA", at positions 28 to 1381 of the family's 1533-position model. The record is from RNAcentral.
GAUGAACGCUGGCGGCGUGCCUAAUACAUGCAAGUCGAGCGAACGGACGAGAAGCUUGCUUCUCUGAUGUUAGCGGCGGACGGGUGAGUAACACGUGGAUAACCUACCUAUAAGACUGGGAUAACUUCGGGAAACCGGAGCUAAUACCGGAUAAUAUUUUGAACCGCAUGGUUCAAAAGUGAAAGACGGUCUUGCUGUCACUUAUAGAUGGAUCCGCGCUGCAUUAGCUAGUUGGUAAGGUAACGGCUUACCAAGGCAACGAUGCAUAGCCGACCUGAGAGGGUGAUCGGCCACACUGGAACUGAGACACGGUCCAGACUCCUACGGGAGGCAGCAGUAGGGAAUCUUCCGCAAUGGGCGAAAGCCUGACGGAGCAACGCCGCGUGAGUGAUGAAGGUCUUCGGAUCGUAAAACUCUGUUAUUAGGGAAGAACAUAUGUGUAAGUAACUGUGCACAUCUUGACGGUACCUAAUCAGAAAGCCACGGCUAACUACGUGCCAGCAGCCGCGGUAAUACGUAGGUGGCAAGCGUUAUCCGGAAUUAUUGGGCGUAAAGCGCGCGUAGGCGGUUUUUUAAGUCUGAUGUGAAAGCCCACGGCUCAACCGUGGAGGGUCAUUGGAAACUGGAAAACUUGAGUGCAGAAGAGGAAAGUGGAAUUCCAUGUGUAGCGGUGAAAUGCGCAGAGAUAUGGAGGAACACCAGUGGCGAAGGCGACUUUCUGGUCUGUAACUGACGCUGAUGCGCGAAAGCGUGGGGAUCAAACAGGAUUAGAUACCCUGGUAGUCCACGCCGUAAACGAUGAGUGCUAAGUGUUAGGGGGUUUCCGCCCCUUAGUGCUGCAGCUAACGCAUUAAGCACUCCGCCUGGGGAGUACGACCGCAAGGUUGAAACUCAAAGGAAUUGACGGGGACCCGCACAAGCGGUGGAGCAUGUGGUUUAAUUCGAAGCAACGCGAAGAACCUUACCAAAUCUUGACAUCCUUUGACAACUCUAGAGAUAGAGCUUUCCCCUUCGGGGGACAAAGUGACAGGUGGUGCAUGGUUGUCGUCAGCUCGUGUCGUGAGAUGUUGGGUUAAGUCCCGCAACGAGCGCAACCCUUAAGCUUAGUUGCCAUCAUUAAGUUGGGUACUCUAAGUUGACUGCCGGUGACAAACCGGAGGAAGGUGGGGAUGACGUCAAAUCAUCAUGCCCCUUAUGAUUUGGGCUACACACGUGCUACAAUGGACAAUACAAAGGGCAGCGAAACCGUGAGGUCAAGCAAAUCCCAUAAAGUUGUUCUCAGUUCGGAUUGUAGUCUGCAACUCGACUACAUGAAGCUGGAAUCGCUAGUAAUCGUAGAUCAGCAUGCUACGGUGAAUACGUUCCCGGGUCU